UCCCUGGUGGCUCAGCUGGUAGAGAAUCCGCCUCUAAUGUGGGAGACCUGGGUUCGAUCCCCGGGCGGGGAA
This 72-nucleotide transfer RNA is filed under the name Ovis aries (sheep). It matches the Rfam family "tRNA". Rfam says of the family: Transfer RNA (tRNA) molecules are approximately 80 nucleotides in length. Lineage: Eukaryota; Metazoa; Chordata; Mammalia; Artiodactyla; Bovidae. The record is from Rfam by way of RNAcentral.